GGUCUUAACAGAAAACAUACCUGGAAUACCUCAAUCUGCGUCGCGACCUGCUAGAAAAAAAGAAAAGGCGACAUUAGACAUACACAAAGGUCUUAACAGAAAACAUACCUGGAAUUCCUCAAUCUGCGUCGCGACCUGCUAGAAAAAAAAGAAAAGGCGACAUUAGACAUACACAAAGGUCUUAACAGAAAACAUACCUGCGAAUUUCCAAUCUGCGUCAAGCCCUGCAGAAAAAAGAAAAGACAACAUUAGACAUACACAAAGGUCUUAACAGAAAACAUACCUGAAAAUCCUCAAUCUGCGUCGCGCCCUGCAAAAAAAAAAAAAAGGCCACACAACCUAAAGGAAUUUCCAAUCUGCGUCAAGACCUGCUAGAAAAAAAGAAAAGGCGAAAUUAGACAUACACAAAGGUCUUAACAGAAAACAUACCUGAAAAUCCUCAAUCUGCAUCGCGCCCUGCUAGAAAAAAAGAAAAGUCGACAUUAGACAUACACAAAGGCCUUAACAGAAAACAUACCUGAAUCUCAAUCUGCGUCGCGCCCUGCUAGAAAAAAAAGAAAAGACAACAUUAGACAUACACAAAGGUCUUAACAGAAAACAUACCUGGGAAUCCUCAAUCUGCGUCGCGCCCUGCUAGAAAAAAAAGAAAAGACAACAUUAGACAUACACAAAGGUCUUAACAGAAAACAUACCUGGAAUCCUCAAUCUGCGUCGCGCCCUGCCAGAAAAAAAAAGAAAAGGCAACAUUAGACAUACACAAAGGUCUUAACAGAAAACAUACCUGCGAAUCUCCAAUCUGCGUCGCGCCCUGCUAGAAAAAAAGAAAAGACAACAUUAGACAUACACAAAGGUCUUAACAGAAAACAUACCUGAAAAUCCUCAAUCUGCGUCGCGCCCUGCUAGAAAAAAAAGAAAAGACAACAUUAGACAUACACAAAGGUCUUAACAGAAAACAUACCUGGAAUUCCUCAAUCUGUCGUUCGCGACCUGCUAGAAAAAAAGAAAAGGACAACAUUAGACAUACACAAAGGUCUUAACAGAAAACAUACCUGGGAAUCCUCAAUCUGCGUCACGCCCUGCUAGAAAAAAGAAAAGGCGAAAUUAGACAUACACAAAGGUCUUAACAGAAAACAUACCUGAAAAUCCUCAAUCUGCGUCGCGCCCUGCAAAAAAAAAAGGCCACACGACCUAAAGGAAAAAAAAAAAGAAAUCAUUAGACAUACACAAAGGUCUUAACAGAAAACAUACCUGAAAAUCCUCAAUCUGCGUCGCGCCCUGCUAGAAAAAAAGAAAAGGCGACAUUAGACAUACACAAAGGCCUUAACAGAAAACAUACCUUCGAAUCUUCAAUCUGCAUCGCGCCCUGCUGGAAAAAAAAGAAAAGGUGACAUUAGACAUACUCAAAGGCCUUAACAGAAAACAUACCUGGAAUUCCUCAAUCUGCGUCGCGCCCUGCUAGAAAAAAAAGAAAGACAACAUUAGACAUACACAAAGGUCUUAACAGAAAACAUACCUGAAAAUCCUCAAUCUGUCGGCGCCCUGCUAAAAAAAAAAAAGGCCACAUGACCUAAGGAAUUUCUCAAUCUGCGUCAAGACCUGCUAGAAAAAAAGAAAAGGCGACAUUAGACAUACACAAAGGUCUUAACAGAAAACAUACCUGGAAUUCCUCAAUCUGCGUCGCGCCCUGCUAGAAAAAAAGAAAAGGCGACAUUAGACAUACACAAAGGUCUUAACAGAAAACAUACCUGGAAUUCCUCAAUCUGCGUCGCGACCUGCUAGAAAAAAAGAAAAGGCGACAUUAGACAUACACAAAGGCCUUAACAGAAAACAUACCUUCGAAUCUCAAUCUGCGUCGCGUCCUGCUAGAAAAAAAGAAAAGGCAACAUUAGACAUACACAAAGUCUUAACAGAAAACAUACCUGGAAUUCCUUAAUCUGCGUCGCGCCCUGCCAGAAAAAGAAAAGGCGACAUUAGACAUACACAAAAACCUUAACAGAAAACAUACCUGAAAAUCCUCAAUCUGCGUCGUGCCCUGCCAGAAAAAAAGAAAAGGCAACAUUAAACAUACACAAAGGUCUUAACAGAAAACAUACCUGAAAAUCCUCAAUCUGCGUCGCGCCCUGCUAGAAAAAAAGAAAAGGCGACAUUAGACAUACACAAAGGCCUUACCAGAAAACAUACCUGAAAAUCCUCAAUCUGCGUCUCGCCCUGCUAGAAAAAAGGAAAAGGCGACAUUAGACAUACACAAAGGCCUUAACGGAAAACAUACCUGCGAAUCUCCAAUCUGUGUCGCGCCCUGCCAGAAAAAAAGAAAAGGCAACAUUAGACGUACACCAAGGUCUUAACAGAUAACAUACCUGAAAAUCCUCAAUCUGCGUCGCGCCCUGCCAGAAAAAAAGAAAAGGCAACAUGAGACAUACACGAAGGCCUUAACAGAAAACAUACCGUCAAAUGUGACAUAGGCCACACCACCUAAAGGAAAAAAUGGAACCAUUAGACAUACACAAAGGCCUUAACAGAAAACAUACCUGCGAAUCUUCAAUCUGCAUCGUGCCCUGCCAGAAAAAAGAAAAGGCCACAUUUGACAUACACAAAGGCCUUAACAGAAAACAUACCUGGAAAUCCUCAAUCUGCGUCGCGCCCUGCUAGAAAAAAAAAAAAAAAAGGCCACACGACUAAAGGAAUUCUCAAUCUGCGUCAAGACCUGCUAGAAAAAAAGAAAAGACAACAUUAGACAUACACAAAGGCCUUAACAGAAAACAUACCUGCAAAUGUCCCAUAGGCCACAUGACCUAAAGGAAAAAAAAGGAACCAUUUGACAUACACAAAGGUCUUAACAGAAAACAUACCUGGGAAUCUCCAAUCUGCGUCGCGCCCUGCUAGAAAAAAAGAAAAGACAACAUUAGACAUACACAAAGGUCUUAACAGAAAACAUACCUGGAAAAUCCUCAAUCUGCGUCGCGCCCUGCUAGAAAAAAAGAAAAGGCAAAUUAGACAUACACAAAGGUCUUAACAGAAAACAUACCUGGAAUUCCUCAAUCUGCGUCGCGCCCUGCUAGAAAAAAAGAAAAGGCGACAUUAGACAUACACAAAGGCUUUAACAGAAAACAUACCUUCGAAUCUUCAAUCUGCGUCGCGCUCUGCUGGGAAAAAAAAGAAAAGGUGACAUUAGACAUACUCAAAGGCCUUAACAGAAAACAUACCUGAAAAUCCUCAAUCUGCGUCGGGCCCUGCAAAAAAAAAAAAGGCCACACCACCUAAAGGAAAAAAAAAGGAACCAUUAGACAUACACAAAGGUCUUAACAGAAAACAUACCUGGAAUACCUCAAUCUGCGUCGCACCCUGCUAGAAAAAAAGAAAAGACAACAUUAGACAUACACAAAGGUCUAAACAGAAAACAUACCUGGAAUUCCUCAAUCUGCGUCGCGACCUGCUAGAAAAAAGAAAAGGCGACAUUAGACAUACACAAAGGCCUUAACAGAAAACAUACCUGCGAAUCUCAAUCUGCGUCGCGCCCUGCCAGAAAAAAAGAAAAAGACAACAAUAAAGACAUACACAAAGGUCUUAACAGAAAACAUACCUGGAAUUCCUCAAUCUGCGUCGCCACCUGCUAGAAAAAAAGAAAAGGCGAAAUUAGACAUACACAAAGGUCUUAACAGAAAACAUACCUGAAAAUCCUCAAUCUGCAUCGCGCCCUGCUAGAAAAAAAGAAAAGUCGACAUUAGACAUACACAAAGGCCUUAACAGAAAACAUACCUUCGAAUCUUCAAUCUGCGUCGCGCCCUGCUGGAAAAAAAAAGAAAAGGUGACAUUAGACAUACUCAAAGGCCUUAACAGAAAACAUACCUGAAAAUCCUCAAUCUGCGUCGCGCCCUGCUAAAAAAAAAAAAAAGGCCACACGACCUAAAGGAAUUUCCAAUCUGCGUCAAGACCUGCUAGAAAAAAAGAAAAGGCGACAUUAGACAUACACAAAGGUCUUAAGAGAAAACAUACCUGGAAUACCUCAAUCUGCGUCGCGACCCUGCUAGAAAAAAAGAAAAGGCGACAUUAGACAUACACAAAGGUCUUAACAGAAAACAUACCUGGAAUUCCUCAAUCUGCGUCGCGACCUGCUAGAAAAAAAGAAAAGGCAACAUUAGACAUACACAAAGGUCUUAACAGAAAACAUACCUGGAAUCCUCAAUCUGCGUCGCGCCCUGCUAGAAAAAAGAAAAGACAACAUUAGACAUACACAAAGGUCUUAACAGAAAACAUACCUGAAAAUCCUCAAUCUGCGUCGCGCCCUGCUAGAAAAAAAGAAAAGACAACAUUAGACAUACACAAAGGUCUUAACAGAAAACAUACCUGGAAUUCCUCAAUCUGCGUCGCGACCUGCUAGAAAAAAAGAAAAGGCGUGAACAUUAGACAUACACAAAGGUCUUAACAGAAAACAUACCUGCGAAUCCUCAAUCUGCGUCGCGCCCUGCUAGAAAAAAAAGAAAAGACAACAUUAGACAUACACAAAGGUCUUAACAGAAAACAUACCUGAAAAUCCUCAAUCUGCGUCGCGCCCUGCCAAAAAAAAAGAAAAGCCCACAGACUAAAGGAAAAAAAAGGAACCAUUAGACAUACACAAAGGUCUUAACAGAAAACAUACCUGGAAUACCUCAAUCUGCGUCGCACCCUGCUAGAAAAAAAGAAAAGACAACAUUAGACAUACACAAAGGUCUUAAACAGAAAACAUACCUGGAAUUCCUCAAUCUGCGUCGCGACCUGCUAGAAAAAAAGAAAAGGCGACAUUAGACAUACACAAAGGUCUUAACAGAAAACAUACUACCUGCGAAUCCUGCAAUCUGCGUCGCGCCCUGCAGAAAAAAAAGAAAAGACAACAUUAGACAUACACAAAGGUCUUAACAGAAAACAUACCUGAAAAUCCUCAAUCUGCGUCGCGCCCUGCUAAAAAAAAAAAAAAGGCCACAUGACCUAAAGGAAUUUCCAAUCUGCGUCAAGACCUGCUAGAAAAAAAGAAAAGGCGAAAUUAGACAUACACAAAGGUCUUAACAGAAAACAUACCUGAAAAUCCUCAAUCUGCAUCGCGCCCUGCUAGAAAAAAAGAAAAGUCGACAUUAGACAUACACAAAGGCCUUAACAGAAAACAUACCUUGAAUCUCCAAUCUGCGUCGCGCCCUGCUAGAAAAAAAGAAAAGACAACAUUAGACAUACACAAAGGUCUUAACAGAAAACAUACCUGGAAUCCUCAAUCUGCGUCGCGCCCUGCUAGAAAAAAAAGAAAAGGCGCAAUUAGACAUACACAAAGGUCUUAACAGAAAACAUACCUGGGAAUCCUCAAUCUGCGUCGCGCCCUGCUAGAAAAAAAGAAAAGACAACAUUAGACAUACACAAAGGUCUUAACAGAAAACAUACCUGAAAAUCCUCAAUCUGCGUCAUAAAAAAAAGAAAGGCCACACGACCUAAAGGAAAAAAAAAGAAACAUUAGACAUACACAAAGGUCUUAACAGAAAACAUACCUGGAAUCCUCAAUCUGCGUCGCACCCUGCUAGAAAAAAAGAAAAGACAACAUUAGACAUACACAAAGGUCUUAACAGAAAACAUACCUGGAAUUCCUCAAUCUGCGUCGCGACCUGCUAGAAAAAAAGAAAAGGCAACAUUAGACAUACACAAAGGUCUUAACAGAAAACAUACCUGCGAAUCCUCAAUCUGCGUCGCGCCCUGCUAGAAAAAAAGAAAAGGCGAAAUUAGACAUACACAAAGGUCUUAACAGAAAACAUACCUGGAAUCCUCAAUCUGCGUCGCCCCUGCUAGAAAAAAAGAAAAGGCGAAAUUAGACAUACACAAAGGUCUUAACAGAAAACAUACCUGGAAUUCCUCAAUCUGCGUCGCGCCCUGCUAGAAAAAAAGAAAAGGCGACAUUAGACAUACACAAAGGUCUUAACAGAAAACAUACCUGCGAAUCUUCAAUCUGCGUCGCGCUCUGCUGGGAAAAAAAAGAAAAGACAACAUUAGACAUACACAAAGGUCUUAACAGAAAACAUACCUGGAAAUCCUCAAUCUGCGUCGCGCCCUGCUAAAAAAAAAAAAAGGCCACACGACCUAAAGGCAAUCUGCGUCAAGACCUGCUAGAAAAAAAGAAAAGGCGACAUUAGACAUACACAAAGGUCUUAACAGAAAACAUACCUGGAAUUCCUCAAUCUGCGUCGCGACCUGCUAGAAAAAAAGAAAAGGCGACAUUAGACAUACACAAAGGUCUUAACAGAAAACAUACCUGGAAUUCCUCAAUCUGCGUCGCGCCCUGCUAGAAAAAAAGAAAAGGCAACAUUAGACAUACACAAAGGUCUUAACAGAAAACAUACCUGAAAAUCCUCAAUCUGCGUCGCGCCCUGCUAGAAAAAAAGAAAAGGCAACAUUAGACAUACACAAAGGUCUUAACAGAAAACAUACCUUCGAAUCUUCAAUCUGCGUCGCGUCCUGCUGGAAAAAAAAAGAAAAGGUGACAUUAGACAUACUCA
Molecule: long non-coding RNA, 6506 nt
Filed under: Mytilus galloprovincialis (Mediterranean mussel)
Lineage: Eukaryota; Metazoa; Mollusca; Bivalvia; Mytilida; Mytilidae
Source: RNAcentral